AGUCUUAAUAUUUUGACCAAGGAGGCUGGAUAUAAGGAGGCUGAUCUCCGCGUUUCCCAAAUGAGGUGACGCGUAUGCAAAAUUGAACGAUAACUGGGUUCGCCGAGUAGCCACCUCGGCGCUGUUGGUCAGAAGUGUGCCUCGCUCUGAUUGACUACUCUGCGCGUUAUUAUUAUUUUCACUCGCGUCAGAUUGACGUUUUCAAAAGAGAAUUUUUGAUAAAUUAUUGUUUUGAAUUCAUUUUCAAUGGAAAUAAGGCGAUAAAUAAUUCGCGGUAGCACGAUCAGCUGUCGUUCGGAUCGGAAAAGAAGAAAAAAAAGGGCUUUAACUCUUUUAAAGUUUCCACAGGAUGAACAUAAAUUUCGAAAAUGGCAAGAGGUAUUGGAUUACAUUAAAAAAGAUAAACACGUAUACGAGUUGCACUUUUCUAAAAAAGAUGUUGUCAGGAUAUAUCGUAAAGUAAUUGAUCCUGAUAGGAGUAUAAAAUACUUACCAGAUACAAAGGCAACUUUACAAAGAAUGGCAUGUCAAUUACUUAAAAAUGCCGAAUAUCGCAUUAUGAUUAACAUUAUGAAAAGGUGGCUCCCACUAAUCAGAGCAAGGUACAGUUCUGACUAAUAGCGCCGAUGUAGCAACUUUUUGAAACUAGUUUUCGUUUGUUUUUGGGUACACACGUUUAGCAUACAGAUCAGUCUCCUUAUUUUGACAUUUCUAUCCCAAUACACCCUUAAAAAUCUUUUAUAUAUUUAGACAAAUGUGAGUUAAUAGAGGGUGCAUAUGGAAAUCAAUCUAUGAUACUCGACACAGCUAGUAUCAGCAUACGAAUGGCUGGGAGGUUUCAGAAUGGUUCCAACUGACUUAUAAUGCAUUUUUUUAAUGUUCUUUCUUACUCAUUUAACUCCCUCCCUACUCUUGAAAAAUUUCAAAAUUUAAGUGAAAAAAAGCUUGAAAAAUCAUUCUAUGAAACCACAGAAUACCUCAAUGCAUUUAGUUAGUUAAGAUAUUGAUCUUCUCAAUGUAUUGUUUUUGUAUUAUUUUUUAAUAUUAUUGUCCUAUUAAGUUAUUGUACUUAAUAAGUUUUCUUUUUUUAUCUUAUAGUAUAAGAGCUUUAUAUGGUAGUAGGUGAGAGAAAGAAGGAUUGUGGAGCAUUACGGUAUUUUUUCUAUUUUAUUUUGUUUGACUUAUGUAUAUACAUCACUAAAUUUUGCGCAUAAUAUAUUUAAUUUGAUUUGAA
Anthonomus grandis grandis is the source of this 1234-nucleotide long non-coding RNA. RefSeq lists it as uncharacterized. NCBI's taxonomy places the organism in Eukaryota, Metazoa, Arthropoda, Insecta, Coleoptera, Curculionidae. The transcript is spliced from 2 exons. The record is from RefSeq and is a predicted model, not a curated record.